AAGAGAUUUGUUUAACAUUUGUUUAUUUUUUUUAUAUGACUAUCAUUGUCCACAGAGUUUUUUUUAUUACACCACUUCCCCUCUUUACAUGCAUUGUUAUAUUGACUCAUUGUAAAAUGAUUUCAGGGGUUGGGAGUUAUCUCCCCUUCUCAGUUUGGGAGUUAUCUCCCCUUCUCAGUUUGGGAGUUAUCUCCCUUUCUCAGUUUGGGAGUUGUCUCCCUUUCUCAGUUUGGGAGUUACCUCCUUUUUCAAUUUGGGAGUUAUCUCCCUUUAUCACGUUGGGAGUUAUUUCCCCUCAUUAUCAAAAAAACAAUACUCAGUUAAAGAACAAAUACAUAUUUUGCAGCAAUACAUUUAGUAAUUCAGUUUUAUAGUUUAUAUGAACAGUAUAUUUAAACACAUAGCUAGAUGAUUUAUCUCUUUCAGGGCAAUUCCAUUAAAAUGAGAAUAGGGGUAGAAGAAAGUGAAGUUUGACGAGGG
Molecule: long non-coding RNA, 480 nt
Filed under: Mytilus galloprovincialis (Mediterranean mussel)
Lineage: Eukaryota; Metazoa; Mollusca; Bivalvia; Mytilida; Mytilidae
Source: RNAcentral